GAUGAACGCUGGCGGCGUGCCUAAUACAUGCAAGUCGAGCGAACAGACGAGGAGCUUGCUCCUCUGACGUUAGCGGCGGACGUGUGAGUAACACGUGGAUAACCUACCUAUAAGACUGGGAUAACUUCGGGAAACCGGAGCUAAUACCGGAUAAUAUAUUGAACCGCAUGGUUCAAUAGUGAAAGACGGUUUUGCUGUCACUUAUAGAUGGAUCCGCGCCGCAUUAGCUAGUUGGUAAGGUAACGGCUUACCAAGGCAACGAUGCGUAGCCGACCUGAGAGGGUGAUCGGCAACACUGGAACUGAGACACGGUCCAGACUCCUACGGGAGGCAGCAGUAGGGAAUCUUCCGCAAUGGGCGAAAGCAUGACGGAGCAACGCCGCGUGAGUGAUGAAGGUCUUCGGAUCGUAAAACUCUGUUAUUAGGGAAGAGCAAAUGUGUAAGUAACUAUGCACGUCUUGACGGUACCUAAUCAGAAAGCCACGGCUAACUACGUG
This 497-nucleotide ribosomal RNA is filed under the name uncultured bacterium. RNAcentral's name for it is "partial 16S ribosomal RNA". It matches the Rfam family "Bacterial small subunit ribosomal RNA", at positions 28 to 507 of the family's 1533-position model. The record is from RNAcentral.